GCGGUUGGUGGGUGAGACUUUCGCUUUUAACUGCCGCAGCUCCGCGCGAUUCCCAGGGAUAACAGAGGGCCAGCGUGGGUCGCCUUCAAGACUGUCCGUGUAUUGCUCAGGCUGACCUCACAUGAGAUCCUCUUGCCUCUGCUCCCAUAUGGAUUUUUAAAAUACUCCUAUGGUAUUCUGUGACCCGCUUUACUCACUAGUGCUGUAGCCUUUUUCAAACUUGGAUCUUCUGUGCAGUAGGAACAAUAACACUGAAGAAAACAGUGAGCUAACGCUGUGCAGUGGCUGAGAUGGCUAAAAUUACAGAUGAGUGACCAUCCCAAGUGUGGAUGAGGGUAUGGAGCAACCGGCCAAAGCUGUCAGACACUGCUGAUGAAGAUGUAUAAUAGUACAGGUACUGACUUGGCCUGUUACAAAGAAAUGACCAACAUCCAUGUAUAAGUCGUUAGAGAGACAUACUUUCAUCUGUCCUAAUGAAAUGUCUACAAGUGGAAUGGCCGGGUCAACUUCUGGGCUGGCCCCACACAGGAUCCUCUUCCUUCACCUCCCAUAUAAUGGAUUUUCUAAAUACUCAUCAUGGAUCCUGUGACCCGCUUUAUUCUCUAGUGCUGUAGUCUUUUGCAGAAUUGGAUGUUCUAUGCAGAGGACAAAAGAAUAACUUGAAGAAAGUGUUUCUCUAAAUGAAGGCCAAAGAUCCAAAAGAAUUCUUAUAUGGACUGAAUAAUAAACAUUUUAAACACGCUCCCUCUGCGAUUUUUCUGCAUUCUGAAAUGCCCUACAGGAAAGAGCAACAGGACUGUGCAGGAGAAGCAGCAACUCUCCCACAUGAAGGAGCCAUUCUCUGAUGGAGCAGUGGUAAACCCACGCCACCACCACCAAAAGAUGUCAACAUGGGGCGGCACAGGCACAGACACAUAAGUGGAACCAAGUCUGUCUGAAGACAACUCCUGGGAUGAGAAAGAAAAACUAGAGCCUGUGGCUGUGGAGAAGUAGCGCUGCAUUGUCUGUAAACACCAUAUCGUCUCCGUGCAGUCAUCUGGUGAGUGGAGGAGAGCUUUGUCUUGGCUCAAAGUUUCAGUAGAUUCCAUGGAUGCUCAGUGAGUUUCAGGGCAGAAGUGGUGUGGUGGAAUGGCCUGGGAGGAAGAUAGCUCAUCCUUUGGCAGCCUGGAAACAGAGGAGAAGGAAAGGGCCAGGUCUAUUAAGAGUUCAGUCGUGGCAAUCCUAUGACACACAUGCUGCAGUGGGCCUUUGGUAUCUUGAAAAUGCUGCAAUGUUCGCCAUCACUGUAGAAAACUGGAAGAUCAUCCUGUAGCUCCUUUUGAGGCUGAGUACUAGUGAACACUUGGGCAUAAUGGAGACAGUUCGUUGUUCAGCAGACAGCAGCAUUGUUUCCAAAAUGGUACACUGAUCAUUAAUUACAUUGUUUUCUUUGACCUGAUUUGACAGAGUAAUUGUUCUUCUGAAAUAAUUGGGUGUCAUCUUUUCUCCAUAGAAGCUCUGCACUACUAUUUUGUAAAUUACUAACUUUAAAAUAAUUUGUAAUUAGUACAUGUUUAUAGGACAAAUGUUCACUGUGGCAAAUUGGUACAUCUACAUAUCAUGUCUUCAUCCUUUUUAUGUCCCGUUUCCCUCUCCUUCCCCCCAAACAAUAUGGAUUUUUCUCAUCAGUGAUGCACACUGAUAUGUGUCAAUUAUAGUUUGAAAAACUGACCAAAAAUUAAAAAUCAUAUGGAUAGUGUUUAGAUACUAACAUCUUGUGCUGAGUCUGUUAGGGAUCGCAUAGUGUAGUCAUUACCCUGACUGGACAUCAUCACUGUGAUGCAAUAUAUUAUUAUUUUACCUCAAACAUUUUAUAUUUAGUGACAUCUAUCAUAUGGUAAACUUACUUUAAAACAUUUUGCUGAAAAUAAAAUGGUAUGUAAAAUUUCUGUAAAGGUUGUUUUUUCAGGGUUGUUAGAAGGGUUUUUAUUUUUCUGAUCUCCAUUGUAAAAUUUCAUUUCUUAGUUUUGUUUUUCUUUUAUUUGUCUGUUGCUUACUGAAUUCCCUUAGUUUGUGAUAAUGUGUGCACAUACCUAACUACUUCUUUCCUGUCUGUCGAAGAGGAAAAAACCCUAUAUUUCCCUAGCAGUCCAUGGUUGUGUUCCUGUCUCGUAAAAUAGAACCAUAACUGGAUCUAAACGACAUAAAAGGUAAACAAGGAAGGACAGAGAGGUUGCAUUCUUCAGAGGAGCCCCAGUCUGCACCUUCAGCUUUGAUGUCGUCUCCCGGCUUCUAGUGCAGACUCUUUGGCUUCCACCUUGGAUCCGUCAGCCUUCCGUGGCAGACCCAUCAGCCUCAUGAUACAAACUUGCACAGAACACUGCCUUGCACUCCAGAUUUUGGACUGAAUCCUUCUGUCCCCAGUGUAUAGACACCCUCUGCAUGCUUCCUCAUCCAACUCUUUGGCUGACCGUCAUAUCCCAAUCUUGUAAUUUCUUAUACAUUUGUAUAUCUUGUGUUAUAUCUGUUUCUCCAGUAAAACCCUGACUGAUACAUGGGUGGAUGGCUAAAGCAAGUAUACAUAUCACCUCUCAUAAUUAUCUGUUCUGCACUUCAAAUCUCUCAGCAAUUUUUAAGUAUGCAAUACACUGUUGUUAAUUGUAGUGAUACCAUGUUGUACAAUGAAACUCACAAAAUCUUUCUGUCCUGACAAAUGAUGUUUGUAUCUUUUAGCUAACAUCUCCUCAACCCCUCUAUCCCCAAAACAUACUGCAUACUAGCCCCUAGUUAUCAGUAUUCUUCUGUGAGUUUAUGAAUUCCUCAUUUUAUAUUCCAUAGAUGAGUGAGGUGAAGUGGUAUUUAUUCUUUUUACCUGGCCGAGUUUUCACAUUUACUUUGAAAUCCUCUAGGGUUUUUCAUGUAACAAAUGAGACAAUUCUCUUCCUUGUUCAGGCUGAAUAGUAUUGCAUUGCACAUACUUUUUAUGUUUUAUUUAUUCAACAUCUGUUAAUGAACACAAUAUGAUGUUAUGUGAAUAAGACUGAUAUAAAUAUGAGAGUUUGGUGGAAUAAGUCAGCUCUGUGGGAAUACAACACAACACCUGACACAGGCUACUUAGGAGUACAGAGAGAUUUAUUUUGGUUUGUGAUUCAUGGGACAUUGUCUUAGUUACUUUUCUCAUUGUGGAGACAAA
This is a long non-coding RNA of Chinchilla lanigera (long-tailed chinchilla), 3172 nucleotides long. RefSeq lists it as uncharacterized. The record is from RefSeq and is a predicted model, not a curated record. NCBI's taxonomy places the organism in Eukaryota, Metazoa, Chordata, Mammalia, Rodentia, Chinchillidae. The transcript has 9 exons.